RNAcentral lists this long non-coding RNA (852 nucleotides) under Mustela putorius furo (domestic ferret). Its description in RNAcentral is "lncRNA (ENSMPUG00000031831.1)". The record is from RNAcentral. Lineage: Eukaryota; Metazoa; Chordata; Mammalia; Carnivora; Mustelidae.
GCACUAUUCAUUUGUAUUUUUCUUUCUGUCUUUCUGAAGAAGGAAUAUUUGUUUAGGGGACUAUAGUUGUCAGUAAUCGGCCUGAAGCAGUCUGUUAGCUUCAAAGAACUAAAUCCAUAGUUUGAGUGUUUUUUAAAUACUUAUUGAGAUUUUCUUGACACACCUGAGGACAGUUUUCCACUGGAAGACAGCAUGGUCUAAUUAUGGAAUUCUAUGUGGGUUAAUACGGCUAGGGUAAAGACUGUUAGGGAAUGAGUGGUGAGCUGUGUGGCUGGAGAAAUCAGCUCGAACCUGUUAAGUCGUUUGAGGGGGUUUAGACAUUAUUUUCAGGGCAGAGGGAAGGCUUUGAAAGGCUUCAAAGAGUGAUAUGAUUGGAAUUUCUUUUUAAAGAAAGCUCACUUUCGUGGCAUUGUGGCGAAUGGAUUGGACGGGAAUAAACAUGAAAGGAGGGAGAUGAACUGGAAUACUCCAGAAGAGAUGACGGUCGCCUGAACUUGGGUGGAAGCAGCGAUAAUGGAGAGAAAGAAAUAUACACUGAAGAUAAUGGGCAGCAUUAUCUGCAUUUAAAAUAUUCCUUCCAGAAUUUUUUUCUUCCUGAUUGCUGCUGUUGCUUAAACAUUGGUGAGCACUAGCUGACUAUAAGAUGAUUAAGCAAAUGAUUAGGAAUUGAUGGAAAUACUUCAAUUCAACAGCUUAUUAAAAAAUCAGACAAGCGGUUAUUGAGAUUUUUUAUAUACUUAUAAUACAGUCAUAUUUUUUCCAACUUAAAUUGUUCCAGUUCUCAUGAUGAAAUUAUAUCAGUAGUUUGUAUUGAAAAAAAUAAUUUGAAUUUUUUACAGUCAUUGGUGGAAC